This is a long non-coding RNA of Tympanuchus pallidicinctus (lesser prairie-chicken), 4082 nucleotides long. RefSeq lists it as uncharacterized. The record is from RefSeq and is a predicted model, not a curated record. The transcript has 3 exons. Lineage: Eukaryota; Metazoa; Chordata; Aves; Galliformes; Phasianidae.
GUAGAAACAGCUUGAUUUGGUGUUUUUGCAGAGCUGAGGAGGGAGAUGAAGGCAAUUUUGUCAGCAGCAAAUGUCAUUUAAAGGCAGAGAGAGCAAAGAUGACUCGGCUGUGGGAGGUGGGUAAUCCUGGUUCAUGUUUUUAAUGGAGAAUCCAGAGGUGGGAAAUAGCAUGUGAGAGAACCUGUGGGAAACAAGACACAGCUGGGAGACAAAGCUGAAGGAGGUCGUGGAGUUCAGGCAGAGCUUUGGGGAGGUAAUAUGCAGUCAAUACCUUGCAAUGUUGUGCUGCAGUUUCCUUCCAGUCAUACAAGCAUGGCAUACUGUAGAAGGAAACCCUGGAAAGCACAGGUCUGCAUGGGCAGGUUAAACGAUGGAGAAUUGGCUUUCAUGCUCUAGAGCACCUGCUGAUUCUCAGGGGGCAAGGGCUUGGCCAUAAUUAGAGCUCGUGCUGACAUGGAGUAGAUGUGGCGAAGAAAGUGAAUCGAGACUGAGUUUGGACUGAGAUUAUCUGAAAUCUGUUCUCAGCUCAGCUGAGAUUCUACUUGUCUCUGCUUGAAGGAAGAAGACCACAUUAUUUGUUUGUUUGGAGGAGAGGGAAUGUAUGGAACACCUUGUGAGCCAUCAAGAGCUGCUGGUAAACCAAAGUGUGUUCUCUGUUCAUCAAACUGGAAAGUCUUCGUGUUUCCUGUUGUUUUUCCUCUGGGCUUUAUAAGUAACUUGUGGAUGCAAAAAAUGUUCAAGUGCUUUAGCUCUGUUCUCAGGAUUGCAUGGUGAGUUAGCUUCUAGAACAUACAGCAGCCAAAUGACGGUUCUUUUGGUCCAUUGCCACAUUUGUUGUGGUUUCAAUGAUUCUGAAGAAAGUCCUGCAUAUUAAAAUCAUAGAAUCAUAGAACCAUAGAAUGGUUUGGGUUAGAAAGGACCUUUAAGAUCAUGUACUUCCAACCCUCCUGCUAGACCAGGUUGCUCACAGUCCCAUCCAGCCUGGCCUUGAAUAAUUCCAGAGAGAGGGCACCCACAACCUCACUGGACAAUCUGUUUCAGUGUCUCACCACCCUCAUAGUAAAGAUUUUCUUCCUGAUAUCUAGUCUAAAUCUACCCUCUUCCUUCUUAAAAUCAUUUUCCCUCAUCCUGUCGCUACCUGCCAUUAUUAAAAGUUCCUCCCCACCUUUCCUGUAGGCCCCUUCAUGUACUGGAAGGCAGCUAUGAGGUCUCCUCUUCUCCAUGCUGAAGAGCCCCAACUGACUCAUCCUGUCUCCCUAGAAGAGGUGCUCCAGACCUCUGAUCAUCUUCAUGCCCUUCUCUGGACUUGCUCCAACAACUCCAUGUCCUUCUCGUGUUGGGGCCUCCAGAACUGGAUGCAGCAAUUCAGGGGGCUCUCACAAGAGCAGAGUAGAGGGGCAGAAUCUCCUCCCUUGACCUGUUGGUCACACUUCACUUGAUGCAACACAGCAUACAGUUGGCCUUUUGGGCUGCAAGUGCACAUUGCCAGCUCCUGUUGAAUCUCUCAUCGAUCAAUACCCCCAAAUCCUUCUCAGGGCUGCUCUCAAGCCGUUCUCUGCCCAACUUGUAUCUAUUCUUCAGAUUGCCCUGACCCAGGUGCAGGAUCUUGCAUUUGGCUGUGUUUAACUCAUAGGGUUGGCAUGGGCCCACCUCUCAAGCUUGUUCAGGUCCCUCAGGAUGGCAUCCUUUUCAUCUAGCAUGUCAACUACACCACACAGCUUGGUGCUGUCUGCAGACUUGCUGAGAGUGUACUCCAUCCCGCUGCCUAUAUUGCCUACCAAAACGUUAAAAAAAAAAAAAAAAAAAAAGCAAAAAUGCAGCUAUGCAGAUUAUUUUCACCUAAAAAAGUGUAGUGAUCUCUUUACCGGAGGGAGGAAUUGCAUAAAUGGUGAAAACGAUUUUCUGUGCUCCUUGUUGAUUUAAAAAACUGAGCUAAGUUACCAUCUGUUCCUGUCUAGGGCAGCAAAUUUGGAAAAGCAUGGAAUUGUGCACAGUGUCUUCUCUCUUCAGGUGCUGGGGAAGGUACACCAGAGGAUGACCCCGGAGUGCAACCAGGACCAAGUGCUAGUGACUAGGAAGAAAAGAAGUCUCAGCUGCUUCCUGCUUCUGCUCUCUGACCCAUGAGCAAAUCUAACCAAAAAGUGGGUAAAGAUUCUGACACCAGGUGCCCAGAUCAGCAGGACUCCCAGGAGCUUCCGUUUCUCCCAGUAUUUGCUCCAGGGCAUUGCACCUCUGCUCAUUAACUGUGGGCAGAGCUGAAACACCCAGGAGAACGCUGAAUCCAUUGCAAGCCAUGCAGAACACAUUUGCUGUAGCAAUCCUACUACUGCUGUUUCGUCAGGUCAAUAUGUAAUUGCUUCUGUUGCUGGAGGGCUCCAUCAACCCCUUCAUUAAAAUGCAAAUUUCACAUUAAUUAAAAAUGCUGGGAGCAUUUGCACAAUUUAUGACCAAAUCUUUGAGUUCAGCAACUCCCACACUGGGGAGUAGCAGUAAGAAAUAUUUGAAACUGCUGAAAUAAAUCCUUAUCUCACAACACUGGGGAUGUUUUAACUGAUAAAGGAGGAUCUUCUUGGACUUCUAAAAUUAAUUUGUUCUCCCUAGACUGGAAAACACACAAGGCAAAGGGGGCUCUAUGAGAAUUCUAUUCUUAUGGAUAUUCUUACAGCUUCCUAUGGUAUAGAAAAUGUUACACAUAGGAAGAAGGAAGAAGAAAAAUCCUAAUUUAUGCUCUGAUACAGUGAGGAAGUGACCUCGUUUCUGGUCAACCUUCCCUUCCCAGUCAGAUGACAGUGUCCCCAUAUAGCUACCUUAAACUACUAACUAACUACUAACUGCUGCAGUCCCUUCAUAUCUGUUUGAACUGGAGUAGAUUCUACCAGGUCCUACCUCAUCUCCUUCGAUAGGACAAGAGGGAAUAGCUUUAAACUAAAUGAGAGGAAAUUUAGAUUAGAUGUUAAGAAGAAAUUCUUUACUCUGAGGGUGGUGAGAUGCUGGAAAUGGGCUGCCCAGAGAAUGUGAAUGUCCCAUCUCUGGAGGCAUUCAAGGCCGUGUUGGGUGGGCCUGGGCAGCAUCAGCUUGGGGGUGGCGACAUGGCAGGCCCAUGGCAGGGGAUUAGAAACUACAUGAUCUUCAAGGUCCCCUCCAACCUAAGCCAGUCUAUGCUUCUGUGAUCAAGAAUGGUGAAGUUUCUCUUUGAUGUGAUGGGAAACUGCUCCUCAUUGGCAUUGACCAUGUCAGCUGAUGAGUCCAAGACUAGAGGGAUGUAGCUGCCUGAUUCCUUUGCAUCAAGCUGGGACAUUCUCACCUGACUGAUUCUUUGAGAGAGGAGCUAGAGGGGUGCUGAGAGGACCCAGGGGGUCUGCAUCUCAUGCUCUGGAUGAUACAGGUACAGCAGGACCCAUGCUGUGCAGCUGGGAAGAUUGUGAUCCACCAAUGGGUGAAACUCUCUGUGGGACCUCAUGGCAUGUGAAAACACCACUGGCAUUUUGGUUACACAUCCUUGUAUGGCUUGAGCCCAUUCAUUUACCAGUGGUGAGGAACAUAUGUGAUUUCCCUCAGGUUAUGAGAGGCCUUUGCCAUCUCACCAUCCAAUGCUCCAUGGCUAUGACUCUUCUGUCUACUGUAAUUUGGCUAUCCCAGCUUGAAAUUCUAGUGCCUCCCCUUACCACCAUGUCUUUCCCACAAGCCUUCAGCACUUUCCAGCUAUCUGCGUCCUUCCACCUACAGGAUUUAGACCUGAUCUGUACCUCAUCUAUGCCCAAGCAAAUCACAGAAAGCACCCCCCCCCAGCUGCAAAAAUAAACCUGAUGUGCCAAAUGCCCUCCCCCUUGAAGGGAAAUCUGUGGUGAUUGCGGGCAGGGGCUCUGUGCGUGCCCAGAUCUGGUGGUGUCUCUCCAGCACCUGUUUCUGGUACGCACAUAAACCAGCAUCAAUUUUACUGAGGCAACAAUAUUUAUGACUCAUUAUAACAUUUACUGAAGUUAGCUCAGAACUCAGGGUGUUGUUAACAGCCCUGGAGAGGCUGUGUAUUUGUGUGCAUGUACACGUAUGCAUGAGCAAGAGGAAGGGAGGCAGGAACUCAG